GACCAAUAAGUAGGCUGGAGAGUUCAGGG
RNAcentral lists this non-coding RNA (29 nucleotides) under Mus musculus (house mouse). The record is from RNAcentral. Lineage: Eukaryota; Metazoa; Chordata; Mammalia; Rodentia; Muridae.